UUUUGUACAUAAAACACUUUUUUGGUAUCUGCUGCUAUCUAACACAUACAGAUUUGGUUCAUUCAACUGCACACCCCAUUUGACAUAGUUAUUAUAAAGGAGUUUAUUAAAUUUCAAUAUCCAUGGAAUUGACAAAUCUGCAAAUAAAUCAGUUUAUUUUAUUUAAUACUCAAGCUAGGAACUAAUUAGAAAAAUAAGAUUUCCAUUUUUCCUAUCAAAACAGUAACCUGGUGUACUCAGUUGAUGGAAAAGUAUUUGAAAGCCAAUUAGUUUCUCAAGAUUGUACUGAUGACACUAGAAAAGUUGGAAUGUUUUAUUUUCAAAUGGUCCAAGCACUCUGAAAAAAGUCAACUAAUUUCUGAGAAAAAAUUAGUGUCAUCAUUUAAGUGAGUGAAGUGAGUGGUCAGAACUGUUACAUUCUUAUCUCCAUGCUCAAAAUGUGACACACUCUUUUAUUAUAGUAAGCACAGGCUGUUUGGUUCAGAUAAUACUGUAUGUUUCCUCAAGAAUAUGCUAUACAUCAGUUAGUGCUAAAGAUGGAAUACAGUAGACAAAAGCAUUUUGUGUAAACUUUAAUCUGUCCUGAGGACACGGGAUUUAGUGUUCUUCUGAAUCUCAUGCCACAUCAUGACAGUCUAAUCUUGCAUCCAUGGGCAUGAUAUUUUUUAAAAAGAGGUUAGAUGCCUACCUGUCAGUGAAUGUUUUAGCUAUGGAUUGCUUGCUUUGGCAGGUUUGACUCAAUUAUCCUUGGGGUCCCUCCCAGCUCUACUAUUCUAUGCCUCUAUGAUGUCCCAAUACAAUUAGCAUUAAAUUCUCAAAUGCAAAGUACUUGGGGGGGACCCCCAAUGUUGCAAGCCUUUCACAAAAUCUGAUGAGAAGCUCAGGUUGUAUCAGCUGCAACAUUUUUCCAAUUAUCAUACAAAAACUAUGGUGUUUAUACACCCUCUUUUCACAUGCAGAGCUGGUGAUAAAGCUGUUGAGACUGAGGUAGAAUAUUUACAUUUUUCACUGACAACUAUAAGUGGUACAUUUACCAAAAGAAAUACAGUGUAUUGCCCAAGUAAGGGGACCAAAGCAAGUUCUUGAUCUACCUUUA
Molecule: long non-coding RNA, 1096 nt
Filed under: Pogona vitticeps (central bearded dragon)
Lineage: Eukaryota; Metazoa; Chordata; Lepidosauria; Squamata; Agamidae
Description: lncRNA (ENSPVIG00000010474.1)
Source: RNAcentral